GCAAAAGUUGCUGAUGUGAAUUAUAGUACGGUUUUAACAUAGAUCACAAAAGUUUUUUUUUCUUCAUGCGUCUGGUACCUAGUCUUCUUUGUGGCGCUAAUGACACUGAUGCCUUCACUUGUAUAUAUUGUCAAACCGAAUAACCUCUGAAACAUCCAAUAACAUGAGAAGUGUUGGAAAAGGAUUUACAUUACUCCGGGCAAUGGUGUUGUUUUACUUGUUGAUUAUCUCAAGUUCACCCGAAUACAUUCCGCCUCCAUCCUCUGUAACAAUAGUUCCAAUAUUUAUUUUAGCCAACAAAUAAAAUAUUAGAAAACCCGGAUAUCAUAAUGAAAAUAUAAAAUAAUCAUUUAAGUUUGGAGUCAAAACACAUGUCAUUUAAAUCUUAAAAGUCAAAAGUGGAGUUUGAUUUCACGAUGGAAGGAGUAGUUUAGUUAUACAUUCAUGCCUGAAACCUCUAAAAAGGUUUUCAUAACAAAACUAAGUGUUGAACACAUACCACUGUACCAGUGAAAAUUCAAAAUAGCAAAGUAAAUCAAGAGCUGUCAUAGUAGUGUUCCAUUACUGAAUAUUUUUAGUUUUGAAAGUCAAAGAUGAACUUGUUAUAUUCGAAUUCAUACUCCCAUAUGAAAUAAUAAACCCCUUACAUCCUAACUCAAUUCAUCAAUAUAUCGUGCCUUUUGAUGCAAAUGUCUUCAUGUCAAGUAAACAUUGUUAUAUAUAUAGAUAUGAAUUAGGAUCAAAUACAAAGGAUCCGAAUAGUAAGAAGUCCUUUGUAGAAUAACUUGACCCAUAUAGAUACAUAAGAAAUCUGUUUUGACUCUCAAACAUGUAAACUUGACAUUGGGAUAAUGAUGUAAACUGUGCUACCAGUUAUGGUAGUUGUACUACAAAAAUGAAAAUGAGAACGUGAUUGAUGAAUUGAAUGUACCUGAUCACCAGAGAAUCUAUCAGAAUAAGAAGACAUGGAUUCGCCCGAGCUUUCAUCAAUGGGGCUUUUCUCCAAUGACUUCUUCGGCCGCAGCCAACUUAUGUGAUCCAUUGUUUUCGAAAACAGAUUGAUAAACAAAUACUAAUACCCACACACACUCACCACCCCCACACUUCAACAACAAUCCCAUCAAUCUUAAUCAUUUAAACCUAAACUUCAUAACUUCAAGUGUCAAAACUAAAUUAUAAUCACACAUAAGCAAGUCAUCAGAUAUGAAUUGCUUCUAAAUUGGAUCAGUUUGUGAGGAUGAAAAAAAUAUUUUAGUACUUUAUUGAAUAAACUCUUUCUUAACAUAUUUGAUUGGGUUUAGGUUCAGGAAAUCUGGCGUUUGCUGAAUCACAACACCCCAACGACUGCCAAUUGUAGUCAUUAAAGUUAUAUGAAACCAUUUUUUCCAUUUUCUACCAAUUCGUUUAUACGGAUGAUUCACUCACUUUAAUGAGGUUGGUUACUGAACCGGAACUCGUUUUGGUUUGUUAAUGACUUGUAGUUGACGGCUCAGAAUCAGUAUUGAGGUUCUGAUGGCUGCAUAACAGGUUGCUAGUAGCUCGCCAUCCUUGCUAUGCAACAUCAUACCUAUUUUUUUUUACCAAAGUCAUCAUAGCCGGCAAACGAACUUGGGAUGUAACGGCCGCAUAUAACUUUCAGUUCCAUAUACCUUUAAUUCCAACAUGUCCGGUAAAUAUAACUGGGUUGAUAAUGGCUGCAACGGGUGUUGCAAAAACAACGACUAACUUACAAACAGUCCCCAUUUUGGUUACCAGAUCGAAGUCAGUCCCAACGGAACCACAUUAAAUGGGUUUAGACUCAUGUAUUUAAAUAGGGAUAGACUUGAUUGUUUUCAAUCUAUUUGCCGGUAUAGAACCAUAAUCCCAAUUUCAUUUCCCAAAUUCGAACAGUAAUCCAACAGAGCCAAACACAAGUCAC
RNAcentral lists this long non-coding RNA (1918 nucleotides) under Helianthus annuus (common sunflower). Its description in RNAcentral is "hypothetical non coding rna". The record is from RNAcentral. Lineage: Eukaryota; Viridiplantae; Streptophyta; Magnoliopsida; Asterales; Asteraceae.